RNAcentral lists this ribosomal RNA (303 nucleotides) under Triticum aestivum (bread wheat). Its description in RNAcentral is "partial small subunit ribosomal RNA". Lineage: Eukaryota; Viridiplantae; Streptophyta; Magnoliopsida; Poales; Poaceae. The record is from RNAcentral.
AUGGAGACUUUGAUGCAAAAGAUCCGAAGAUGGCGGCAUACCAAAAUGCCGUACGCAACAUAUCAACUCGGUUUGAGGGGCUUGAGUUCCACCACGUCGCUCGGGAAAGUAAUCAGGCAACCGAUAUCCUUGCUCGAAUGGGCGCUAGGCGUGACCCCGCCCCGCCUAACACCUUUGUGGAAAGGCUCUUCAAGCCAUCCGUGGUAUGGUAGGACGAGAGUGGAAAUACUAGUCCGGCGCCGAUCACACCCUGAGAAGCCGAACACAAUUCCGAUGUCACCGGGUGCUCAGGUACAGAAGUGA